This 22-nucleotide unclassified non-coding RNA is filed under the name Chlamydomonas reinhardtii. RNAcentral describes it as "small RNA Cre_2768". Lineage: Eukaryota; Viridiplantae; Chlorophyta; Chlorophyceae; Chlamydomonadales; Chlamydomonadaceae. The record is from RNAcentral.
UCUCCGUGUCCGGGGCCGGCCG